This 516-nucleotide ribosomal RNA is filed under the name Streptococcus macedonicus. RNAcentral's name for it is "bacterial SSU rRNA". It matches the Rfam family "Bacterial small subunit ribosomal RNA", at positions 21 to 519 of the family's 1533-position model. Lineage: Bacteria; Bacillati; Bacillota; Bacilli; Lactobacillales; Streptococcaceae. The record is from RNAcentral.
GGCUCAGGACGAACGCUGGCGGCGUGCCUAAUACAUGCAAGUAGAACGCUGAAGACUUUAGCUUGCUAGAGUUGGAAGAGUUGCGAACGGGUGAGUAACGCGUAGGUAACCUGCCUACUAGCGGGGGAUAACUAUUGGAAACGAUAGCUAAUACCGCAUAACAGUGUUUAACACAUGUUAGAUGCUUGAAAGAUGCAAUUGCAUCACUAGUAGAUGGACCUGCGUUGUAUUAGCUAGUUGGUGGGGUAACGGCCUACCAAGGCGACGAUACAUAGCCGACCUGAGAGGGUGAUCGGCCACACUGGGACUGAGACACGGCCCAGACUCCUACGGGAGGCAGCAGUAGGGAAUCUUCGGCAAUGGGGGCAACCCUGACCGAGCAACGCCGCGUGAGUGAAGAAGGUUUUCGGAUCGUAAAGCUCUGUUGUAAGAGAAGAACGUGUGUGAGAGUGGAAAGUUCACACAGUGACGGUAACUUACCAGAAAGGGACGGCUAACUACGUGCCAGCAGCCGCG